RNAcentral lists this ribosomal RNA (445 nucleotides) under uncultured bacterium. Its description in RNAcentral is "partial 16S ribosomal RNA". It matches the Rfam family "Bacterial small subunit ribosomal RNA", at positions 354 to 796 of the family's 1533-position model. The record is from RNAcentral.
GUGAGGAAUAUUGGUCAAUGGGCGCAAGCCUGAACCAGCCAUGCCGCGUGCAGGAAGACGGUCCUAUGGAUUGUAAACUGCUUUUAUUUGGGAAUAAACUCCGGUACGUGUACCGGCCUGAAGGUACCAAAUGAAUAAGCACCGGCUAACUCCGUGCCAGCAGCCGCGGUAAUACGGAGGGUGCAAGCGUUAUCCGGAAUCAUUGGGUUUAAAGGGUCCGCAGGCGGUCUUAUAAGUCAGUGGUGAAAGCCUACAGCUCAACUGUAGAACUGCCAUUGAUACUGUAGGACUUGAAUUCGAUCGAAGUGGGCGGAAUGUGACAUGUAGCGGUGAAAUGCUUAGAUAUGUCACAGAACACCGAUAGCGAAGGCAGCUCACUAGGUCUGGAUUGACGCUCAGGGACGAAAGCGUGAGGAGCAAACAGGAUUAGAAACCCCGGUAGUCC